CAUUACCGAGUUCAUGCCCUUACGGGUAGACCUCCCACCCUAUGUUAUAUUACCUUUGUUGCUUUGGCGGGCCGCCCGGCUUCGGCCAGGCUACCGGCUCCAGCUGGUAAGCGCUCGCCAGAGGACCCUCAACUCUGAAUAUCAGUGUCGUCUGAGUACUAUAAAAUAGUUAAAACUUUCAACAACGGAUCUCUUGGUUCUGGCAUCGAUGAAGAACGCAGCGAAAUGCGAUAAGUAAUGUGAAUUGCAGAAUUCAGUGAAUCAUCGAAUCUUUGAACGCACAUUGCGCCCCUUGGUAUUCCGAGGGGCAUGCCUGUUCGAGCGUCAUUACAACCCUCAAGCACUGCUUGGUAUUGGGCUCCGCUGGCUCCAGCGGGCCUUAAAAUCAGUGGCGGCGCCGUUUGGGCUCUGAGCGUAGUAAAUAUCCUCGCUAUAGAGACCAGGCGGUUCUUGUCAUCAACCCCCAACUUUCUAAGUUUGACCUCGGAUCAGGUAGGGAUACCCGCUGAACUUAAGCAUAUCA
Molecule: ribosomal RNA, 523 nt
Filed under: Helotiales sp. 6-NN-2017
Lineage: Eukaryota; Fungi; Ascomycota; Leotiomycetes; Helotiales
Description: eukaryotic LSU rRNA
Rfam family: 5.8S ribosomal RNA (bases 174-327)
Source: RNAcentral